AUAAAGUGGAAUAUUAAGCAAUACAACAAAUAAAGACGAGCAAACAAGCACAAGAUAUAAGAUCAGCACAAUCCUAAUACAUGGGAGAUGUUUUCUAUGUCAUUACAUAGAAAAGCAGAUGCUUUAAGUUUUCAAAAAUUAUAUAAAAAAAAAUCCAUAGCAUAAAACUUAUGUUAGCAAUUUGUAAGCAGGAAUAAGGAUAGCACAUUGUCCUUUUCACAUGAAUUUGGACUUU
Molecule: unclassified non-coding RNA, 235 nt
Filed under: Hevea brasiliensis (rubber tree)
Lineage: Eukaryota; Viridiplantae; Streptophyta; Magnoliopsida; Malpighiales; Euphorbiaceae
Source: RNAcentral